Molecule: ribosomal RNA, 253 nt
Filed under: uncultured bacterium
Lineage: Bacteria
Description: partial 16S ribosomal RNA
Rfam family: Bacterial small subunit ribosomal RNA
Source: RNAcentral
UACGUAGGGGGCAAGCGUUGUCCGGAAUCAUUGGGCGUAAAGAGCGCGUAGGCGGCCCGAUAAGUCCGCUGUGAAAGUCAAGGGCUCAACCCUUGAAUGCCGGUGGAUACUGUCGGGCUAGAGUCCGGAAGAGGCGAGUGGAAUUCCUGGUGUAGCGGUGAAAUGCGCAGAUAUCAGGAGGAACACCAAUGGCGAAGGCAGCUCGCUGGGACGUUACUGACGCUGAGACGCGAAAGCGUGGGGAGCAAACAGG